CAGGAAUUCAAAAGUAGUCCUCAGUCCUUCCCUUGAAACCAAUUUGCCCAAAAGUGAGGCAGAGGAACAACCCAAUGUGCCACGUAAUCAUCCAUAACCUGCUCACGAUGGUUGUCUCAUAUUAUGUCAACAGUUUAAAACAGACUCAUU
Molecule: long non-coding RNA, 150 nt
Organism: Abrus precatorius (Indian licorice)
Lineage: Eukaryota; Viridiplantae; Streptophyta; Magnoliopsida; Fabales; Fabaceae
Exons: 3
Source: RefSeq, a predicted model, not a curated record